UACAGAGGUCUCAAGCGUUGUUCGGAUUCAUUGGGCGUAAAGGGUGCGUAGGUGGCGGGGCAAGUUGGAUGUGAAAUCCCGGAGCUUAACUCCGGAACUGCAUUCAAUACUGCCUUGCUAGAGUACUGGAGAGGAGAUUGGAAUUUACGGUGUAGCAGUGAAAUGCGUAGAUAUCGUAAGGAAGACCAGUGGCGAAGGCGGAUCUCUGGACAGUUACUGACACUGAGGCACGAAGCCAGGGGAGCGAAACGGG
RNAcentral lists this ribosomal RNA (253 nucleotides) under uncultured bacterium. RNAcentral describes it as "partial 16S ribosomal RNA". It matches the Rfam family "Bacterial small subunit ribosomal RNA", at positions 524 to 777 of the family's 1533-position model. The record is from RNAcentral.